Molecule: ribosomal RNA, 231 nt
Filed under: Salmonella enterica subsp. enterica serovar Infantis
Lineage: Bacteria; Pseudomonadati; Pseudomonadota; Gammaproteobacteria; Enterobacterales; Enterobacteriaceae
Also listed under: 19 other names
Description: partial 23S ribosomal RNA
Rfam family: Bacterial large subunit ribosomal RNA
Source: RNAcentral
CUAAGCGUACACGGUGGAUGCCCUGGCAGUCAGAGGCGAUGAAGGGCGUGCUAAUCUGCGAUAAGCGCCGGUAAGGUGAUAUGAACCGUUAUAACCGGCGAUACCCGAAUGGGGAAACCCAGUGUGACUCGUCACACUAUCAUUAACUGAAUCCAUAGGUUAAUGAGGCGAACCGGGGGAACUGAAACAUCUAAGUACCCCGAGGAAAAGAAAUCAACCGAGAUUCCCCCA